Molecule: long non-coding RNA, 1974 nt
Organism: Beta vulgaris subsp. vulgaris (sugar beet)
Lineage: Eukaryota; Viridiplantae; Streptophyta; Magnoliopsida; Caryophyllales; Amaranthaceae
Exons: 4
Source: RefSeq, a predicted model, not a curated record
CCUUUAUUUCUCAUUACACCUUUUCAAACCUCCCCUCCUAUUCCUAAACAAACAAUGCAUUAAGGUCAAUGUAGAUCCAUUUUUCAAAUGUACACACAACAACUAAUUUCCUAACCUAUUUGAUUAAGUUGACAUAUGCAACCUAACUAGGUAAUUAGUAAUCCUUUUUAACAACAUUAUUAUGGCCAUUAUUACAGUAAUAUAAGUUUAGAACAGAGCAGUCAAAUGUAGCUCUAGGUCUUUGAUGGCACCUUUUUUUUCCACAUCUCCUUGUCUUUUAACCAAACAACCCCUUCCUUAUCUCUCACUCUCUCACCUCUCCUUCUCUCUCUCUCUCAAAUAAUUAUGCUCAUGAUUAUGUUCUCUGUUUCACUCCACUAACCCCCAUAAAAUCACAAACUUUCUUGUUUUCUGAAUCAUACAGACAUUAUCAAAAAAAAUUCAUCAUAAAAAAAAAAAACUCUGAAUUUCACAAUAAGAGAUAAAGUGGGAAGCUUGAAUUUUGAGGGGAAUGUUGUUUGGCUCGAAGACUGCUUAAAGUUACAAUCUUUCUUCAAAUUUUUCAUCAAAAUUUCUAGAAAAUUAAAUUUUGUCUUCGGACCAGGCUUCAUUCCCCUCAAUUUCAGCUUCCAAAUCAUUCAGAUCAUCAGACGAAUCUACAAAUUGGGGUCCUAAUUCUUCGAUUCGAUAUGGGUGAUUAAGGGUUUUGAUCUUUGUAGUAGAGUGCAGAUUGGUGUAAUCAUGAAAAGGGUUUUUUUUUUUGGUGGGGAGUUGGCAGAGUAGGUAUGUUUUUGAAGAUGAGAUUUCAUCAUUGCUGUUUCUUAUUAUUCCAUAUAAAAUUUUAUUUUAAUUUUUUCUUGGAUUUUAUUUUUGUGAAUUUCAACGCUAGUUAUCAUGUCUUGUUAUGUUUUUAUGUCAGUCAUUUGACUGUUAGUUUAUAAUCCCUAGUUUUCAUCAUUGAAGUGAUUUUUCUCAUCAUGACACACUUUGAAGGUUCUAAAAAAUCCCAUCUAUCACUUAUUCUAGGGUUUAUACUACUAUCAUCAUUCAUCAUCUUAUUCAUCUUCUUUUUUUUCUUCAAUUUCUUUUGCUCUAAUAUAAUCUUAUAUGCUUGUAUUAAUCAUUAAACGCGUCGUAUAAAUCCUAUAAAUCGGAUUUAUACUGGGGUUGUUGUUGUUGCUGACUUUUUUUUCGCGUAAUUAGAUUUAUAUACAUGUGUUUCUUCAAGAUUAUAUCAUGAAAUAUGGUUAACAUUUCAGAUCAAAGUUAUCAGCUAACUUUAAUGGGUACUAAAUUCAUUAUUUACAAAUCUCAAGCACAAGCUACAUGUGAUUUUAUUUAAUGUUGGUAGGUGAAUAUAUUACAUAAAUGGAGUACAAAUUAUUUUAUUCAAUGUGGUGCAUAAUUUUUCAAUGAAGAUUUUGCAGGCAAUAAAAUGUUACUGGAAAGUGUCAAUGGAAGAUAUGGGUAUAAUUUCUGGGAAGAGAUGACUUUGGUGGAUAAGUGUUCUUGAAGAUCCAUGGGUCUCAAGUUUCAAGCCUUACUGCUAUCAAAAGAAUUCAAGGAUCAAGUGUGGCCGUACUAUGAGUAUAUGAAAGAGACGAAAAAAAAUACUGUAGUAUAGCAGUAAACUUUAGAGAAGAGGACAAGAAGCGCAAACAUCGGGUGUUGGCUGGCAUUUCACAGUAGCAGAGAGGACGCCUUUUUUAAGCUUUACCUUUUAAAAAAUGUCAGAUUCUUGCCGAUUUUGCAUUUUCACCUCUACUUUCAUCUGCAUAUCAGCAUAUCCAUUUCUCAAGAAUUACAAUUGUUUGGGAUAAAUUUGGCAAAUUCUUUAGAGUGAUUUGGUUGAAAUCUUAUAAACUCAAUUGACUGUAAAUUAUAUCCUUAAAUUGACAAAAAUUGGGUUCGUUAUCUUGUAAUAAUUUCAACUAUAAAUUAUUUCAUAAUAAUCUCAACUAUUGUCUUCUGAAA